GUGCCCGUAGCUCAGUCGGUAGAGCAUUCGACUUUUAAUCGAAUGGCCGAAGGUUCGAAUCCUUCCGGGCACA
RNAcentral lists this transfer RNA (73 nucleotides) under Haematospirillum jordaniae. It matches the Rfam family "tRNA". Rfam says of the family: Transfer RNA (tRNA) molecules are approximately 80 nucleotides in length. Their secondary structure includes four short double-helical elements and three loops (D, anti-codon, and T loops). The record is from Rfam by way of RNAcentral. Lineage: Bacteria; Pseudomonadati; Pseudomonadota; Alphaproteobacteria; Rhodospirillales; Novispirillaceae.